This 490-nucleotide ribosomal RNA is filed under the name uncultured bacterium. Its description in RNAcentral is "partial 16S ribosomal RNA". It matches the Rfam family "Bacterial small subunit ribosomal RNA", at positions 28 to 500 of the family's 1533-position model. The record is from RNAcentral.
GAUGAACGCUGGCGGCGUGCCUAAUACAUGCAAGUCGAGCGAACGGACGAGAAGCUUGCGUCUCUGAUGUUAGCGGCGGACGGGUGAGUAACACGUGGAUAACCUACCUAUAAGACUGGGAUAACUUCGGGAAACCGGAGCUAAUACCGGAUAAUAUUUUGAACCGCAUGGUUCAAAAGUGAAAGACGGUCUUGCCGUCACUUAUAGAUGGAUCCGCGCUGCAUUAGCUAGUUGGUAAGGUAACGGCUUACCAAGGCAACGAAGCAUAGCCGACCUGAGAGGGUGAUCGGCCAACGUGGACCUGGGACACGGUCCAGAGUCCUACGGGAGGCAGCAGUAGGGAAUCUUCCGCAAUGGGCGAAAGCCUGACGGAGCAACGCCGCGUGAGUGACGAAGGUCUUCGGAUCGUAAAACUCUGUUAUUAGGGAAGAACAUAUGUGUAAGUAACUGUGCACAGCUUGACGGUACCUAAUCAGAAAGCCACGGCUAA